ACUGCUAUCGGGGUUCGACUAAGCCAUGCUAGUCGAGAGGGGUAAAGCCCUCGGCGAACUGCUCAGUAACACGUGGAUAACCUGACCUAGGGAGGGGGAUAACCCCGGGAAACUGGGGAUAAUACCCCAUAGGCUACGGAGGCUGGAAUGCCCUGUAACCCAAAGCUCCGGCGCCCUAGGAUGGGUCUGCGGCCGAUUAGGUUGUUGUUGGGGUAACGGCCCAACAAGCCGAUCAUCGGUACGGGUUGUGGGAGCAAGAGCCCGGAGAUGGAUUCUGAGACAUGAAUCCAGGCCCUACGGGGCGCAGCAGGCGCGAAAACUUUACAAUGCGGGAAACCGUGAUAAGGGGACCCCGAGUGCCUGUACACGCAGGCUGUUCAGGUGUUUAAAACGCAUCUGGAGAAAGGGCCGGGCAAGACCGGUGCCAGCCGCCGCGGUAAUACCGGCGGCUCGAGUGGUGGCCACUAUUACUGGGCUUAAAGCGUCCGUAGCCGGGUUGUUAA
This 503-nucleotide ribosomal RNA is filed under the name uncultured archaeon. RNAcentral's name for it is "bacterial SSU rRNA". It matches the Rfam family "Archaeal small subunit ribosomal RNA", at positions 26 to 536 of the family's 1478-position model. The record is from RNAcentral.